Molecule: ribosomal RNA, 207 nt
Filed under: uncultured bacterium
Lineage: Bacteria
Description: partial 16S ribosomal RNA
Rfam family: Bacterial small subunit ribosomal RNA
Source: RNAcentral
CACGUAGGCUGUUAUGUAAGUCAGGGGUGAAAUCCCACGGCUCAACCGUGGAACUGCCCUUGAUACUGCACGACUUGAAUCCGGGAGAGGGUGGCGGAAUUCCAGGUGUAGGAGUGAAAUCCGUAGAUAUCUGGAGGAACAUCAGUGGCGAAGGCGGCCACCUGGACCGGUACUGACGCUGAGGUGCGAAAGCGUGGGGAGCAAACA